UACAGAGGGGGCAAGCGUUGUUCGGAAUUACUGGGCGUAAAGGGCGCGUAGGCGGCCUUCUAAGUCGAACGUGAAAUCCCCGGGCUCAACCCGGGAACUGCGUCCGAUACUGGAAGGCUUGAAUCCGGGAGAGGGAUGCGGAAUUCCAGGUGUAGCGGUGAAAUGCGUAGAUAUCUGGAGGAACACCGGUGGCGAAGGCGGCAUCCUGGACCGAGACUGACGCUGAGGAGCGAAAGCCAGGGGAGCAAACGGG
This 253-nucleotide ribosomal RNA is filed under the name uncultured bacterium. RNAcentral's name for it is "partial 16S ribosomal RNA". It matches the Rfam family "Bacterial small subunit ribosomal RNA", at positions 524 to 776 of the family's 1533-position model. The record is from RNAcentral.